CAAGAAGUUUAUGAGCAUAUAUCCAAUGUCGUACAGUCAACCAUAAUGCCAUGCACGCUGGUGGAAAAGGCUGUGUUUGGGCUCCUUAGAAUAUGCCAGCGAUUGCUUCCCUAUAAGGAAAACCUGACAGAUGAGCUCCUCAAGUCACUCCAACUGAUACUGAAACUCGAUGCUCGGGUUGCUGAUGCUUAUUGUGAACAGAUCACACAAGAAGUUAUGCGUCUUGUAAAAGCAAAUGCUACUCAUAUCAGAUCUCAUGUAGGCUGGCGCACAAUCACUUCCCUCCUAUCCAUCAGACAUGAUAAAUGCUAGUGUCUCGAAACUGGAUUUGAGACACUAGCAUUUAUCAUGUCUGAUGGGGCACACCUUUUACCAUCUAACUAUGUCUUUUGUGUUGAUGCUGCAAGACAGUUUGCUGAGUCUCGUUUGGGGGAUGUUGACCGGUCUGUUUCAGCCCUAGAUAUGAUGGCAGGUUCUGUUGUUUGUCUGGCAAGAUGGUCUUCUGAGGCUCAAAUUGCAGUGGGGCAGGAGGCUGCUAUGAAAUUGAGUCGAGAUAUUGGGGAGAUGUGGCUGCGGAUGGUGCAAGGACUAAGGAAAGUGUGUCUGGACCAUAGAGAAGAGGUGAGGAACCAUGCUAUUGUGAUGUUGCAGAGGUCACUGGUUGGAGUGGACAUGAUUCACCUUCCUAUUGCCCUCUGGUUCCAAUGUUUUGAUCUGGUGAUCUUUACAUUGCUCGAUGAUUUGUUGGACAUUUCACUGGAGAGCUCCCCUAAGAAUUACUGGAAAAUGGAGGAAACACUUGUCCUAGCCAUGAAACUAAUGGCAAAAGCAUUCUUGCAGCAACUGCAGGAUCUGUCACAGCAGCCAUCCUUUUGUAGACUAUGGUUAGGAGUUCUUAAUCGUAUGGAGAGAUACAUGAAGGUAAAAUUCCGAGGAAAGCGCAGUGAGAAGAUACAUGAAUUAGUUCCUGAGCUUCUCAAGAACAUAUUGCUGGUGAUGAAGACAACAGGAGUUCUUAAGCCAAGUGAUGAUAUUGGUGGGGAUAGCUUUUGGCAAUUGACAUGGUUACACGUGAAAAAUAUAUGUCCACCUCUGCAAUCAGAAGUAUUCCAGGAUCAUGAAUUAGAGCAAAUGCAAGCAAAAAAACAUGAAAUCAGGGGUUCCCGCACCUGAUGAGACUCUGACUGUUCCAUCUAGUGAGAGAACAGUGUGAAGCUAAUUUGAGGAUAGAGUUGCAGAUUAUACUGUGAUUUUUUUUUUUUCAAAAUGUAGUGCCUCGAUAAUGUGCCUGCCUGGAAUCGGCUGCUUCAGUUGGGACGGAGUUGGCUAUCCAUAUUAAGAAUUGAGAAGCUUCAGAAUUUCACUCAACUGAAGAUUUGUGGAGGUACAAAAUUAAGUUGGAAGCACGUCAGAUCUUAAUUCAACAGUGUUGGGGCAUCUAAGUUUUUGGCGGAAUUGCUAAUUGAUUUUUGCACUCCAUAAACCCACAGGAGUGGUUCUGUUGUAGAGUGCAUGGUUCCCUUUUGCUUUUACCAGAGGAACUGAAUAGAUCCCUGCAUAAAUUGUGUAGUUUGUGCUUGCUUAUUGAUCACUGUACCUAAAAUUUCCAAAUUUCACCAUUAUGAAUCUGUGUACUUUGUCAUAUAAUAUAUAUUAUUCGUCUAUCACAUUACAAUGCUUUUUCUGGGG
This 1689-nucleotide unclassified non-coding RNA is filed under the name Hevea brasiliensis (rubber tree). Lineage: Eukaryota; Viridiplantae; Streptophyta; Magnoliopsida; Malpighiales; Euphorbiaceae. The record is from RNAcentral.